Long non-coding RNA from Malus domestica (apple), 295 nucleotides. RefSeq lists it as uncharacterized. NCBI's taxonomy places the organism in Eukaryota, Viridiplantae, Streptophyta, Magnoliopsida, Rosales, Rosaceae. The record is from RefSeq and is a predicted model, not a curated record.
AUGAUCGGAUCAUAUUUAUAUAUAUUUUUACUUUAAAUUCACUCGUCUUUUCUUGGAGUAACAUGAUCCAAAGAACUUAUUUUUCUGCUAUGUGGGGCUGCUAGAAACUAAAUGAAAAUAAAAGGAGAGCAUCGGGAGGAGAAUAUAGAGAAAAGCAAGCUGCCUUUGCAGCUGGAGGAAAGCAGGUCAGCGACAAAGGGAUCCAAGGAAGUCAGAAGAAUUAGGGGACAGCAACUGGCAAAGCAGAGGAAAUGGAGGAGUCCACACGGGGGACGGAAAAAGAAUCCAAAGAAGG